GAUGAACGCUGGCGGCGUGCCUAAUACAUGCAAGUCGAGCGAACAGACGAGGAGCUUGCUCCUCUGACGUUAGCGGCGGACGGGUGAGUAACACGUUGAUAACCUACCUAUAAGACUGGGAUAACUUCGGGAAACCGGAGCUAAUACCGGAUAAUAUAUUGAACCGCAUGGUUCAAUAGUGAAAGACGGUUUUGCUGUCACUUAUAGAUGGAUCCGCGCCGCAUUAGCUAGUUGGUAAGGUAACGGCUUACCAAGGCGACGAUGCGUAGCCGACCUGAGAGGGUGAUCGGCCACACUGGAACUGAGACACGGUCCAGACUCCUACGGGAGGCAGCAGUAGGGAAUCUUCCGCAAUGGGCGAAAGCCUGACGGAGCAACGCCGCGUGAGUGAUGAAGGUCUUCGGAUCGUAAAACUCUGUUAUUAGGGAAGAAAAAAUGUGUAAGUAACUAUGCACGUCUUGACGGUACCUAAUCAGAAAGCAACGGCUAACUACGUG
Molecule: ribosomal RNA, 497 nt
Filed under: uncultured bacterium
Lineage: Bacteria
Description: partial 16S ribosomal RNA
Rfam family: Bacterial small subunit ribosomal RNA
Source: RNAcentral